GACGAACGCUGGCGGCGUGCUUAACACAUGCAAGUCGAACGCUGAAGCUCAGCUUUUGUUGGGUGGAUGAGUGGCGAACGGGUGAGUAACACGUGAGUAACCUGCCUCCUUCUUUGGGAUAACGCCCGGAAACGGGUGCUAAUACUGGAUAUUCACUGGUCUUCGCAUGGGGGUUGGUGGAAAGGGUUUUUCUGGUGGGGGAUGGGCUCGCGGCCUAUCAGCUUGUUGGUGGGGUGAUGGCCUACCAAGGCUUUGACGGGUAGCCGGCCUGAGAGGGUGACCGGUAACAUUGGGACUGGGAUACGGCCCAGACUCCUACGGGAGGCAGCAGUGGGGAAUAUUGCCCAAUGGGCGCAAGCCUGAUGCAGCGACGCCGCGUGAGGGAUGGAGGCCUUCGGGUUGUGAACCUCUUUCGCUCAUGGUCAAGCCGCAACAAUGGUUGUGGUGAGGGUAGUGGGUAAAGAAGCGCCGGCUAGCUACGUG
RNAcentral lists this ribosomal RNA (483 nucleotides) under uncultured bacterium. RNAcentral's name for it is "partial 16S ribosomal RNA". It matches the Rfam family "Bacterial small subunit ribosomal RNA", at positions 28 to 507 of the family's 1533-position model. The record is from RNAcentral.